AGAGUUUGAUCCUGGCUCAGAUUGAACGCUGGCGGCAUGCUUUACACAUGCAAGUCGAACGGCAGCACGGGCUUCGGCCUGGUGGCGAGUGGCGAACGGGUGAGUAAUGCGUCGGAACGCGCCGAGUAGUGGGGGAUAACGCAGCGAAAGCUGUGCUAAUACCGCAUACGUACUGAGGUAGAAAGUGGGGGACCUUCGGACCUCGCGCGGACGGAGCGGCCGAUGGCAGAUUAGGUAGUUGGUGGGAUAAAAGCUUACCAAGCCGACGAUCUGUAGCUGGUCUGAGAGGAUGAUCAGCCACACUGGGACUGAGACACGGCCCAGACUCCUACGGGAGGCAGCAGUGGGGAAUUUUGGACAAUGGGC
RNAcentral lists this ribosomal RNA (366 nucleotides) under uncultured bacterium. RNAcentral describes it as "bacterial SSU rRNA". It matches the Rfam family "Bacterial small subunit ribosomal RNA", at positions 8 to 376 of the family's 1533-position model. The record is from RNAcentral.